GGGGGCAUAAGCUAACGGUAAACUGUCGGUCUCCAAAACCGACUUUGGUGGUUCAAAUCCAUCUGCCCCUG
This 71-nucleotide transfer RNA is filed under the name Endomicrobium sp. RNAcentral describes it as "tRNA-Trp". It matches the Rfam family "tRNA". From Rfam's summary of the family: Transfer RNA (tRNA) molecules are approximately 80 nucleotides in length. The record is from RNAcentral. Lineage: Bacteria; Pseudomonadati; Elusimicrobiota; Endomicrobiia; Endomicrobiales; Endomicrobiaceae.